ACGAACGCUGGCGGCGUGCUUAACACAUGCAAGUCGAGCGGUAAGGCCCUUCGGGGUACACGAGCGGCGAACGGGUGAGUAACACGUGAGCAACCUGCCCCUGACUCCGGGAUAAGCGGUGGAAACGCCGUCUAAUACCGGAUACGACCCGCCACCUCAUGGUGGAGGGUGGAAAGUUUUAUCGGUCAGGGAUGGGCUCGCGGCCUAUCAGCUUGUUGGUGGGGUAACGGCCUACCAAGGCGAUUACGGGUAGCCGGCCUGAGAGGGCGACCGGCCACACUGGGACUGAGACACGGCCCAGACUCCUGCGGGAGGCAGCAGUGGGGAAUAUUGCAGCAAUGGGCGAAAGCCUGAUGCAGCGACGCCGCGUGGGGGAUGACGGCCUUCGGGUUGUAAACCUCUUUUACCACCAACGCAGGCUCCACGUUCUCGUGGGGUUGACGGUAGGUGGGGAAUAAGGACCGGCUAACUACGUGCCAGCAGCCGCGGUAAUACGUAGGGUCCGAGCGUUGUCCGGAAUUAUUGGGCGUAAAGAGCUCGUAGGCGGCAUGUCGCGUCUGCUGUGAAAGACCGGGGCUUAACUCCGGUUCUGCAGUGGAUACGGGCAUGCUAGAGGUAGGUAGGGGAGACUGGAAUUCCUGGUGUAGCGGUGAAAUGCGCAGAUAUCAGGAGGAACACCGGUGGCGAAGGCGGGUCUCUGGGCCUUACCUGACGCUGAGGAGCGAAAGCAUGGGGAGCGAACAGGAUUAGAUACCCUGGUAGUCCAUGCCGUAAACGUUGGGCGCUAGGUGUGGGGACUUUCCACGGUUUCCGCGCCGUAGCUAACGCAUUAAGCGCCCCGCCUGGGGAGUACGGCCGCAAGGCUAAAACUCAAAGGAAUUGACGGGGGCCCGCACAAGCGGCGGAGCAUGUUGCUUAAUUCGACGCAACGCGAAGAACCUUACCAAGGUUUGACAUCACCCGUGGACCUGUAGAGAUACAGGGUCAUUUAGUUGGUGGGUGACAGGUGGUGCAUGGCUGUCGUCAGCUCGUGUCGUGAGAUGUUGGGUUAAGUCCCGCAACGAGCGCAACCCUUGUUCCAUGUUGCCAGCACGUAAUGGUGGGGACUCAUGGGAGACUGCCGGGGUCAACUCGGAGGAAGGUGGGGACGACGUCAAGUCAUCAUGCCCCUUAUGUCUUGGGCUGCAAACAUGCUACAAUGGCCGGUACAAUGGGCGUGCGAUACCGUAAGGUGGAGCGAAUCCCUUAAAGCCGGUCUCAGUUCGGAUUGGGGUCUGCAACUCGACCCCAUGAAGGUGGAGUCGCUAGUAAUCGCGGAUCAGCAACGCCGCGGUGAAUACGUUCCCGGGCCUUGUACACACCGCCCGUCACGUCAUGAAAGUCGGCAACACCCGAAACUUGUGGCCUAACCCUUCGGGGAGGGAAUGAGUGAAGGUGGGGCUGGCGAUUGGGACGAAGUCGUAACA
This 1466-nucleotide ribosomal RNA is filed under the name Nocardiopsis sp. AB240d. RNAcentral describes it as "16S ribosomal RNA". It matches the Rfam family "Bacterial small subunit ribosomal RNA". Lineage: Bacteria; Bacillati; Actinomycetota; Actinomycetes; Streptosporangiales; Nocardiopsidaceae. The record is from RNAcentral.